AGCAGCCGCGGUAAUUCCAGCUCCAAUAGCGUAUAUUAAAGUUGUUGCAGUUAAAAAGCUCGUAGUUGAAUUUUAGGCUUGACCGGGCGGUCCGUCUCUGGCGAGUACUGUCCUGUUGUCGGGUCUAUCCUUCUGGUGAGCCGGUAUGUCCUUAAUUGGGUGUGUCGGGGAACCAGGACCAUUACCUUGAAAAAAAUUAGAGUGUUUAAAGCGGGCUUUUGCUUGAAUAGAUUAGCAUGGAAUAAUAGAAUAGGACGUUGGUUCUAUUUUGUUGGUCUAGGACCACCGUAAUGAUUAAUAGGGAUAGUUGGGGGCAUUAGUAUUCAAUUGUCAGAGGUGAAAUUCUUGGAUUUAUUGAAGACUAACUACUGCGAAAGCAUUUGCCAAGGAUGUUUUCAUUAAUCAAGAACGAAAGUUAGGGAUCGAAGACGAUCAGAUACCGUCGUAGUCUUAACCAUAAACUAUGCCGACUAGGAAUCGGGCGACGUUAUUUUCAUGACUCGCUCGGCGCCUUAUGGGA
RNAcentral lists this ribosomal RNA (520 nucleotides) under uncultured Archaeospora. Its description in RNAcentral is "SSU rRNA". It matches the Rfam family "Eukaryotic small subunit ribosomal RNA", at positions 569 to 1095 of the family's 1831-position model. Lineage: Eukaryota; Fungi; Glomeromycota; Glomeromycetes; Archaeosporales; Archaeosporaceae. The record is from RNAcentral.